RNAcentral lists this ribosomal RNA (502 nucleotides) under uncultured bacterium. Its description in RNAcentral is "bacterial SSU rRNA". It matches the Rfam family "Bacterial small subunit ribosomal RNA", at positions 28 to 517 of the family's 1533-position model. The record is from RNAcentral.
GAUGAACGCUAGCUACAGGCUUUAACACAUGCAAGUCGAGGGGCAGCGGGGAGGAUGCUUGCAUUCUCCGCCGGCGACCGGCGCACGGGUGAGUAACGCGUAUCGGACCUGCCUCAUACCCGGGAACAGCCUUGCGAAAGUAAGAUUAAUGCCCGAUGUUCCGCAGAUGCCGCAUGGUGUCUUCGGCAAAGAUUUCUUCGGUAUGAGAUGGCGAUGCGUCCCAUUAGCUUGUUGGCGGGAUAACGGCCCACCAAGGCGACGAUGGGUAGGGGUUCUGAGAGGAAGGUCCCCCACAUUGGAACUGAGACAUGGUCCAAACUCCUACGGGAGGCAGCAGUGAGGAAUAUUGGUCAAUGGGCGGAAGCCUGAACCAGCCAAGUAGCGUGCAGGAUGACGGCCCUCCGGGUUGUAAACUGCUUUUAGUUGGGAUAAACGGCGGGACGUGUCCCGCUUUGCAUGUACCAUCAAGAAAAAGGACCGGCUAAUUCCGUGCCAGCCGCCG